RNAcentral lists this ribosomal RNA (1368 nucleotides) under uncultured bacterium. RNAcentral's name for it is "16S ribosomal RNA". It matches the Rfam family "Bacterial small subunit ribosomal RNA". The record is from RNAcentral.
AGAGUUUGAUCCUGGCUCAGGACGAACGCUGGCGGCGCGCCUAACACAUGCAAGUCGAACGAGCGAGAGAGAGCUUGCUUUCUCGAGCGAGUGGCGAACGGGUGAGUAACGCGUGAGGAACCUGCCUCAAAGAGGGGGACAACAGUUGGAAACGACUGCUAAUACCGCAUAAGCCCACAGCUCGGCAUCGAGCAGAGGGAAAAGGAGCAAUCCGCUUUGAGAUGGCCUCGCGUCCGAUUAGCUGGUUGGUGAGGUAACGGCCCACCAAGGCAACGAUCGGUAGCCGGACUGAGAGGUUGAACGGCCACAUUGGGACUGAGACACGGCCCAGACUCCUACGGGAGGCAGCAGUGGGGAAUAUUGCACAAUGGGGGAAACCCUGAUGCAGCGACGCCGCGUGGAGGAAGAAGGUCUUCGGAUUGUAAACUCCUGUUGUUGAGGAAGAUAAUGACGGUACUCAACAAGGAAGUGACGGCUAACUACGUGCCGGCAGCCGCGGUAAAACGUAGGUCACAAGCGUUGUCCGGAAUUACUGGGUGUAAAGGGAGCGCAGGCGGGAAGACAAGUUGGAAGUGAAAUCUAUGGGCUCAACCCAUAAACUGCUUUCAGAACUCUUUUCUUGAGUAGUGCAGAGGUAGGCGGAAUCCCCGGUGUAGCGGUGGAAUGCGUAGAUAUCGGGAGAACACCAGUGGCGAAGGCGGCCUACUGGGCACCAACUGACGGUGAGGCUCGAAAGUGUGGGUACCAACAGGAUUAGAUACCCUGGUAGUCCACACCGUAAACGAUGAUUACUAGGUGUUGGAGGAUUGACCCCUUCAGUGCCGCAGUUAACACAAUAAGUAAUCCACCUGGGGAGUACGACCGCAAGGUUGAAACUCAAAGGAAUUGACGGGGGCCCGCACAAGCAGUGGAGUAUGUGGUUUAGUUCGACGCAACGCGAAGAACCUUACCAAGUCUUGACAUCCUGCGACGCACAUAGAAAUAUGUGUUUCCUUCGGGACGCAGAGACAGGUGGUGCAUGGUUGUCGUCAGCUCGUGUCGUGAGAUGUUGGGUUAAGUCCCGCAACGAGCGCAACCCUUACUGUCAGUUACUACGCAAGAGGACUCUGGCAGGACUGCCGUUGACAAAACGGAGGAAGGUGGGGAUGACGUCAAAUCAUCAUGCCCUUUAUGACUUGGGCUACACACGUACUACAAUGGCGUUAAACAAAGAGAAGCGAGACCGCGAGGUGGAGCAAAACUCAGAAACAACGUCCCAGUUCGGACUGCAGGCUGCAACUCGCCUGCACGAAGUCGGAAUUGCUAGUAAUCGUGGAUCAGCAUGCCACGGUGAAUACGUUCCCGGGCCCAUUGUACACACGCGCCCGU